AACGAACGCUGGCGGCAGGCUUAACACAUGCAAGUCGAGCGCCUCGCAAGAGGAGCGGCAGUCGGGUGAGUAACGCGUGGGAACGUACCCUUAUCUUCGGAAUAGCUCUGGGAAACUGGAAGUAAUACCGAAUGUGCCCUUAGGGGGAAAGAUUUAUCGGAUAAGGAUCGGCCCGCGUUGGAUUAGCUAGUUGGUGGGGUAAAGGCCUACCAAGGCGACGAUCCAUAGCUGGUCUGAGAGGAUGAUCAGCCACAUUGGGACUGAGACACGGCCCAAACUCCCACGGGAGGCGGCAGUGGGGAAUAUUGGACAAUGGGCGCAAGCCUGAUCCAGCCAUGCCGCGUGAGUGAUGAAGGCCUUAGGGUUGUAAAGCUCUUUCACCGGAGAAGAUAAUGACGGUAUCCGGAGAAGAAGCCCCGGCUAACUUCGUG
This 431-nucleotide ribosomal RNA is filed under the name uncultured bacterium. RNAcentral describes it as "partial 16S ribosomal RNA". It matches the Rfam family "Bacterial small subunit ribosomal RNA", at positions 29 to 507 of the family's 1533-position model. The record is from RNAcentral.